RNAcentral lists this ribosomal RNA (116 nucleotides) under Pteropus alecto (black flying fox). Lineage: Eukaryota; Metazoa; Chordata; Mammalia; Chiroptera; Pteropodidae. The record is from RNAcentral.
GUCUACAGCCAUGCCACCCUGAACAAGCCCAAUGUCUGAUCUCAGAAGCUAAGCAGGGUUGGGCCUGGUUAGUACUUGGAUGGGAGACCACCUAGGAAGACUAGGUGCUGUAGGCA